GGUCAGGGCCCAGGGUUAGGGUUUUAGGGUCAGGGCCCAGGGUUAGGGUUUUAGGGUCAGGACCCAGUGUUAGGGUUUUAGGGUCAUGGCCCAGGGUUAGGGUUUUAGGGUCAGGGCCCAGGAUUUGGGUGAUUUCCAGGAAGUGACCUCACAGUGACUCAAGCUACCACUUACUGUUGAUUGUGAUGAAAUGCCAGCUGAGGCACAUGCCUUGGGAGCUAAGUGGUUGCUGCCCUUGACUACUAUGAAGACUGGUGUGGGAAGGGUCGCUUUGGAUGCACUUGAGCAGGGGUCCCCAAUCCCUGAGCCAUGGAGCCGUAAGGAGCCACACAGCAGGUGAGUGGUGUCGAGUGAGGGAGUGAGGGAAGCUUCGUCUGUAUUUACAGCCACUCCCCUUUGCUCACAUUCCCGCCUGAGCUCCACCUUCUCAGAUGAGCAGCAGCAUUAGAUUCUCAUAGGAGAACGCACCCUGUUGUGAACCGUGCAUGUGAGGGAUCUAGGUUGCGCUGUGCUUAUGAGAAUCUAAUACCUAUUGAUCUGUCACUUUCUCCCAUCACGCUCAGGUGGGACCAGCCAGUUUCAGGAAAACAAGCUUAACACGCCCACUGAUUCUACAUUAUGCUCCUACCUCCCGGCAGCCUCGCCAGGCCCAGAACUCUCUCCAGUCAGCCUCUACAGACCAAGCUCAUGACUCACAAUGGCCUAUUGAGGCCCAUACCCUACCUCACGGCAGUCUCCGCAGAUGAGCCUACUGCCUCACAACAGCCUCCACAGGCACAGCUCCAUCGUUACAGUGGCCUCUUUAGACCCAGCUCCUGCCUCCCAGCCUUCUCUCCAGGCCCUGAACUUUCUCCGUGGGACCAUCCAGUUUCAGGAAAACAAGCUUAACACGCCCACUGAUUCUACAUUAUGCUCCUACCUCCCGGCAGCCUCGCCAGGCCCAGAACUCUCUCCAGUCAGCCUCUACAGACCAAGCUCAUGACUCACAAUGGCCUAUUGAGGCCCAUACCCUACCUCACGGCAGUCUCCGCAGAUGAGCCUACUGCCUCACAACAGCCUCCACAGGCACAGCUCCAUCGUUACAAUGGCCUCUUUAGACCCAGCUCCUGCCUCCCAGCCUUCUCUCCAGGCCCUGAACUUUCUCCGUGGGACCAUCCAGUUUCAGGAAAACAAGCUUAACACGCCCACUGAUUCUACAUUAUGCUCCUACCUCCCGGCAGCCUCGCCAGGCCCAGAACUCUCUCCAGUCAGCCUCUACAGACCAAGCUCAUGACUCACAAUGGCCUAUUGAGGCCCAUACCCUACCUCACGGCAGUCUCCGCAGAUGAGCCUACUGCCUCACAACAGCCUCCACAGGCACAGCUCCAUCGUUACAAUGGCCUCUUUAGACCCAGCUCCUGCCUCCCAGCCUUCUCUCCAGGCCCUGAACUUUCUCCGUGGGACCAUCCAGUUUCAGGAAAACAAGCUUAACACGCCCACUGAUUCUACAUUAUGCUCCUACCUCCCGGCAGCCUCGCCAGGCCCAGAACUCUCUCCAGUCAGCCUCUACAGACCAAGCUCAUGACUCACAAUGGCCUAUUGAGGCCCAUACCCUACCUCACGGCAGUCUCCGCAGAUGAGCCUACUGCCUCACAACAGCCUCCACAGGCACAGCUCCAUCGUUACAAUGGCCUCUUUAGACCCAGCUCCUGCCGCCCAGCCUUCUCUCCAGGCCCUGAACUUUCUCCGUAAGUUGAGGUAGCUGGGACUGUAGGUAUACAUGACGAUACUUGGCUAAUUUUUAAAUUGUUUUGCAGACAUGGGGUCUCACUUUGUUGGCCAGGCUGCUGUCAAACUAAUGGCCUCAAGUGACCCUUCCACCCCUGCCUCCCAUCCUCGAGGUAUGUGCCACCACAAGGGGCACUUGUUCAAUUUUCUAAAGAAAAAAUUUCUAAAGUAAGGCUGUGGAUGAUGGCAGGAAGAUAAAAGAAAAACAGAAGAAUAAGUUAAAAUGACUUAUUCACACAUAUUCUUUUGACAGCAAGAAGAACUGUUAGUAUAUACAUUCCUUACAAACAAAGAAACGGCAGAUAAACAAUGUUGUAUAGGAACUUCAACACACACUGUACAAUCUUCCCACUUUGCUGACAUAAGUUAUGGAAAUUUCGUGGUUUCCUUGAGUGUCGCUACCAGUAUUUUGCUUCUCUUAUGAUUUUUAUCAACUUCCUCAUCUGUUAACUUCUCUCCAAAGUAUGUCAUGUCACGACAUACUGCCGCUGCAGGAACACGGCCACUGUCUUCCUAUUAAACAUGUAGAAUGCUUUCCUAAUUUCUCUUUUUACUCUCUGUCUUUGUGUUCUGCAUUUUCCUUACUUUUAUUCUCAGAAACUCCAGAAAUCAAUCGUACUAA
This is a long non-coding RNA of Gorilla gorilla gorilla (western lowland gorilla), 2389 nucleotides long. RefSeq lists it as uncharacterized. The record is from RefSeq and is a predicted model, not a curated record. The transcript is spliced from 8 exons. NCBI's taxonomy places the organism in Eukaryota, Metazoa, Chordata, Mammalia, Primates, Hominidae.